GCGUCAGAGGAUCGUUCGCGCUUUUCUUCCCAGGGGCACCAAGUUUUCACUGGAGGACAGAAGAUGGCUGGACAGUCAUUUAACAAGAAAGUUCAUGGAUAUGGAGCCACAUGGAAUAUUGAAGGACGUUGACUCAGGAAUUUGGUCUCAACAGCUUACGCAAGGUGCCUCAACAUGAGAUGGAGGUGUAAGAUGUGUAGUUUUAUAUCAGACAAGCGAAUAGGAUUGUUAAAACACUAUAGAUCAAAGAGGAGUUCAGAAGGAUAACAACAGUUCAUCUGGAGCGAACAUUUUUGUCAAAACUGGACACACACACUCCCAAACUCCUGGAGAUAUUUAGGACAGAGGGCGGGGUUGCAGGCACGAAAAUCAGGCUGAUGCUGGAUUCACUUGGCCAGCAACAUGUUGAAGGCAGAAGAGAUCUCAUCAUACAUUGCCUAAUGGAGUUCCUUGGAGAGUCGGGAGAGGAGCUGAUCAAAGACUGCCAGGAUGUAGGUGAAGAAGACUCUGUUCAUCAUGUCCUCAAGAUCCUCGUCAUCAGUGGAAAUGCAGCACAGGAAGGCCACAAUCCUGCCCAUGUGUCAGUCAUCGUCGAAGGAAAAGAGGUUCUGGAUGACUGCAAAACCAUGGCAAAGGCUUGCCUUCUGCUCAUGGGCUUAAUCUACGCCAUGAACUUGAGUUACCCACUGAAACUGAAAUACACAUUUGAAGUGUUUCAGAUGCUGUUUCUUUAACUGGAUGUUCUGAAAAUGUCGCCCAAGGUACGGUCUUUGCGAAAUAAACUUCUACUGUGAGUGUUUCCACAGUGUACAUAUACUGUUCCAGCAUAUAGCUGUUCUUUGGUGUGUGGAAGCAGUACAUGAUGCUUGUCAAUGUAACUUGUUGAAAGAUUUUGCUGUUGUGCUUAAAAGUUACAAUUCAGGACAUUUUAUUGGAUCUUUUACCUGUAAUUGUUCGCAUUAUUGUGAAUGUUGUAAAACAAAAAAUCACUGUUUUAUAAU
Molecule: long non-coding RNA, 1001 nt
Organism: Entelurus aequoreus (snake pipefish)
Lineage: Eukaryota; Metazoa; Chordata; Actinopteri; Syngnathiformes; Syngnathidae
Exons: 6
Source: RefSeq, a predicted model, not a curated record